RNAcentral lists this small RNA (618 nucleotides) under Clostridium acetireducens DSM 10703. The record is from RNAcentral. Lineage: Bacteria; Bacillati; Bacillota; Clostridia; Eubacteriales; Clostridiaceae.
AAUAUCACGUGAAAAGGUGGUACAGUAUUCUAGUCAGGUAAGCAUUUCCCCAGGGCGGGGCUAAAAAUCCGCUAAAGGGCAUAUCGAUGAAGCUUCUUGUGCUGGCUUACGACGCCCAGUUGUGGGCUGGUGCUGGGAGUAAAGGAGAAUGGGGCAACCGCAAUGGCAUGCGCAAUUGACCCUAUAUCCGUGGAGACCUCUGCUUGUAUAUAAGGUUAGCUGCCGUAUAUACGACAGUGGAUUAAACCUGCAUUGUGGCAAAAAAAGUUAUGUGCAGUGUAGCCUGCCUUGAGUAAAGGGGUAGAGGUGAGGUGGCGAUCUAAAUAAAAAUUUGGCCAAAAUUUUUAGAUUUUGCUCACUGAAACCUUUUUUGCAAAAGAGGCUAAGGAAAUGCCUAACUGUCGAGGAAAUCUCCUAGACUGUUAUUUUUUAAUAGGCAUAUUGGGGAUUACAGUGUGGACUAAGUGGUGAUCCAGUUCUGCUUACUUGGCGACAAAGUAGAUAAGGCAUUAAAGGGAAACCGUCAAAAUGGCGACAUUUUGAUUGCUUUAUGGGAAAUCCUACUGGACCUAAGCCGCAAAGUUUACUCAAUAUGCUACCACUUAAUUUUCACUUUUA